Molecule: ribosomal RNA, 371 nt
Filed under: uncultured Alicycliphilus sp.
Lineage: Bacteria; Pseudomonadati; Pseudomonadota; Betaproteobacteria; Burkholderiales; Comamonadaceae
Description: bacterial SSU rRNA
Rfam family: Bacterial small subunit ribosomal RNA
Source: RNAcentral
UAGAGGGUGCUCGAAAGAGAGCCGUAACACAGGUGCUGCAUGGCUGUCGUCAGCUCGUGUCGUGAGAUCGUUGGGUUAAGUCCCGCAACGAGCGCAACCCUUGCCAUUAGUUGCUACGAAAGGGCACUCUAAUGGGACUGCCGGUGACAAACCGGAGGAAGGUGGGGAUGACGUCAAGUCCUCAUGGCCCUUAUAGGUGGGGCUACACACGUCAUACAAUGGCCGGUACAGAGGGUAGCCAACCCGCGAGGGGGAGCCAAUCCCACAAAGCCAGUCGUAGUCCGGAUCGUAGUCUGCAACUCGAGAGCAUGAAGUCGGAAUCGCUAGUAAUCGCAGGUCAGCAUACUGCGGUGAAUACGUUCCCGGGUCUU